Molecule: ribosomal RNA, 253 nt
Filed under: uncultured bacterium
Lineage: Bacteria
Description: partial 16S ribosomal RNA
Rfam family: Bacterial small subunit ribosomal RNA
Source: RNAcentral
UACAGAGGUCUCGAGCGUUGUUCGGAUUCAUUGGGCGUAAAGGGCGCGUAGGCGGCGGGGUAAGUCUGGUGUGAAAUCUCGGAGCUCAACUCCGAAAUUGCACUGGAUACUGCUCUGCUAGAGGGCUGGAGAGGAGAUCGGAAUUCACGGUGUAGCAGUGAAAUGCGUAGAUAUCGUGAGGAACACCAGAGGCGAAGGCGGCUACCUGGACAAUUGCUGACGCUCAGGCACGAAAGCGUGGGGAGCAAAAGGG